AGUGAACGCUGGCGGUAGGCCUAACACAUGCAAGUCGAACGGCAGCACAGUAAGAGCUUGCUCUUACGGGUGGCGAGUGGCGGACGGGUGAGGAAUACAUCGGAAUCUACUUUUUCGUGGGGGAUAACGUAGGGAAACUUACGCUAAUACCGCAUACGACCUACGGGUGAAAGCAGGGGAUCUUCGGACCUUGCGCGAUUGAAUGAGCCGAGGUCGGAUUAGCUAGUUGGCGGGGUAAAGGCCCACCAAGGCGAUGAUCCGUAGCUGGUCUGAGAGGAUGAUCAGCCACACUGGAACUGAGACACGGUCCAGACUCCUACGGGAGGCAGCAGUGGGGAAUAUUGGACAAAGGGCGCAAGCCUGAUCCAGCCAUACCGCGUGGGUGAAGAAGGCCUUCGGGUUGUAAAGCCCUUUUGUUGGGAAAGAAAAGCAGCAGGUUAAUACCCCGCUGUUCUGACGGUACCCAAAGAAUAAGCACCGGCUAACUUCGUG
Molecule: ribosomal RNA, 492 nt
Filed under: uncultured bacterium
Lineage: Bacteria
Description: partial 16S ribosomal RNA
Rfam family: Bacterial small subunit ribosomal RNA
Source: RNAcentral